AAGCCAAAGCAGCAUGUCUCUGGUGAACUUUGCCCUGGCUCUGUCCAUUCUGGCAGAUCACUGUAUACCCCAUAUACAACACCUAUACCAGUUUUCAAUCAUCAGGUCAGUAUUGAGAUCCAGGAAGCACUCUCAUGUAUUAACUGUUCAUAUAUAUGAUGUUGCAAAAAGAAGCUGAACCUACUUUUGUUAUUUUUUGAUAGCGCACCUCCAAUAUGUUUGCUCUUCAACUUCAAUAUGACCUGUAACAUCCGGAUUUGCUGUUAUCGAUAUAUACUGUUUGUAAUGAACAGUUACUCACCAGAAUUGGCCAAGUUAUAUAACUGUAAACCUUUUGUCCUAUUGCAAAUGAAUCUCUGGAGGAAAAUUGACCUACCUGUGACCUUUUGUUAAUGUAGAUUGAUACCCAUCUCUUGUGUAAAUUCCCUGAUUCAAGAACAAAAAAAUAUUGCAUUUCAGGUCUCUUAAUCUGGUUCAUAUUUUCAUUCUAUCAGAUUUUCAUUAAAUGUUCCCAAUAGUUUAGUAGUUCUCACCUUUUCUUGUGCGUUUGAGCAGCUUCCCUUCCUUGCACCAGAUAUCAGGGCUCCACGAAGGUGCCUUCUCACAAGGAAGGACACUUGCAUUGCUUCUCGUCUCAAGCUGGACCCUCUUGUUCAGUGUUGCAGCUCCUCUCAAAGCUUUGCAC
This 685-nucleotide long non-coding RNA is filed under the name Brachypodium distachyon (stiff brome). RNAcentral's name for it is "long non-coding RNA (BDIS_LNC001517)". The record is from RNAcentral. Lineage: Eukaryota; Viridiplantae; Streptophyta; Magnoliopsida; Poales; Poaceae.